Molecule: ribosomal RNA, 215 nt
Filed under: uncultured bacterium
Lineage: Bacteria
Description: partial 16S ribosomal RNA
Rfam family: Bacterial small subunit ribosomal RNA
Source: RNAcentral
UACGGAGGGUGCAAGCGUUAUCCGGAUUCACUGGGUUUAAAGGGUGCGUAGGUGGGUUGGUAAGUCAGUGGUGAAAUCUCCGUGCUUAACAUGGAAACUGCCAUUGAUACUACUGAUCUUGAAUUUUCAGGAGGUAAGCGGAAUAUGUCAUGUAGCGGUGAAAUGCUUAGAUAUGACAUAGAACACCAAUUGCGAAGGCAGCUUACUACAGGAAU